Molecule: ribosomal RNA, 430 nt
Filed under: uncultured bacterium
Lineage: Bacteria
Description: bacterial SSU rRNA
Rfam family: Bacterial small subunit ribosomal RNA
Source: RNAcentral
UGGGGAAUAUUGGACAAUGGGGGGAACCCUGAUCCAGCCAUGCCGCGUGUGUGAAGAAGGCCUUUUGGUUGUAAAGCACUUUAAGCGAGGAGGAGGCGCUCUAGGAUAAUACCCUAGAUGCGUGGACGUUACUCGCAGAAUAAGCACCGGCUAACUCUGUGCCAGCAGCCGCGGUAAUACAGAGGGUGCGAGCGUUAAUCGGAUUUACUGGGCGUAAAGCGCGCGUAGGUGGCUAAUUAAGUCAAAUGUGAAAUCCCCGAGCUUAACUUGGGAAUUGCAUUCGAUACUGGUUAGCUAGAGUAUGGGAGAGGAUGGUAGAAUUCCAGGUGUAGCGGUGAAAUGCGUAGAGAUCUGGAGGAAUACCGAUGGCGAAGGCAGCCAUCUGGCCUAAUACUGACACUGAGGUGCGAAAGCAUGGGGAGCAAACAGG